UACAGAGGUCUCAAGCGUUGUUCGGAUUCAUUGGGCGUAAAGGGUGUGUAGGUGGCGCGCUAAGUCGGGUGUGAAAUUUCGGAGCUUAACUCCGAAACUGCAUUCGAUACUGGCGUGCUUGAGGACUGGAGAGGAGACUGGAAUUUACGGUGUAGCAGUGAAAUGCGUAGAUAUCGUAAGGAAGACCAGUGGCGAAGGCGGGUCUCUGGACAGUUCCUGACACUGAGACACGAAGGCCAGGGGAGCAAACGGGAUUAGAUACCCGGUAGUCC
RNAcentral lists this ribosomal RNA (272 nucleotides) under uncultured prokaryote. RNAcentral describes it as "partial 16S ribosomal RNA". It matches the Rfam family "Bacterial small subunit ribosomal RNA", at positions 524 to 796 of the family's 1533-position model. The record is from RNAcentral.